ACGGAGGGUGCAAGCGUUAAUCGGAAUUACUGGGCGUAAAGCGCACGCAGGCGGUUUGUUAAGUCAGAUGUGAAAUCCCCGGGCUCAACCUGGGAACUGCAUCUGAUACUGGCAAGCUUGAGUCUCGUAGAGGGGGGUAGAAUUCCAGGUGUAGCGGUGAAAUCCGUAGAUAUCAGGAGGAACACCGGUGGCGAAGGCGGCCACCUGGACAGGUACUGACGCUGAGGCACGAAAGCGUGGGGAGCAAACAG
This 251-nucleotide ribosomal RNA is filed under the name uncultured prokaryote. RNAcentral's name for it is "partial 16S rRNA". It matches the Rfam family "Bacterial small subunit ribosomal RNA", at positions 525 to 775 of the family's 1533-position model. The record is from RNAcentral.